CCUGCUCAAUGAAUACUUAAAUAGCCGCUUAUAGUGCUAAGGUAGCAUAAUAAAUUGCUCCUUAAUUAAGAGAUUGAAUGAAAGGAAACACGAUUUAUUAACUGUAUCAAAAUAUAUAAAUAAAAUUAAAUACCAUGUAAAAAUUCAUCAUCUAUCAGCAAGACGACAAGACCCUAUCGAACUUUCCUACAUAGUUUUACUGGGAAGGUAAAAAACUAAAUCUUUCUUUUAUAUUAAAUAAACGCUACAAUUGAAUAAAAAUAAGUUACCGUAGGGAUAACAGCACAAUAAUUUAUAAAAGCCCCUAUAAAAUAAAUUGAUUAUGACCUCGAUGUUGAAUUAACAUUACUUUUUAUAGAAAAAUAUAAAAGUGUGAGUCUGUUCGACUCCUAAUUUGUUACAU
RNAcentral lists this ribosomal RNA (403 nucleotides) under Speocera balikpapan. RNAcentral describes it as "partial large subunit ribosomal RNA". It matches the Rfam family "Bacterial large subunit ribosomal RNA", at positions 1858 to 2601 of the family's 2925-position model. The record is from RNAcentral. Lineage: Eukaryota; Metazoa; Arthropoda; Arachnida; Araneae; Ochyroceratidae.